GUCCGGAAACCGCAGUGCGGUUCCUGGAGGCACACCGCGACCGGUCCGCGCGCCCUGGAGAUUGCCGACCUAGCGUGAACGGGCGUGGGCUUGCGGCGGGGAGGGGAGGCUGGCUUGAGGGCCCACGCACUUCGAGGUGCGUCCCCCCCGCUAGGAAGUGCUCAAUGUGCAGAAUGGCCAUUUCGUAGUCGAGGGAACGAACUGGAAAAAUCACAGCACCGAGUGCUGGGACUACAGGAAAAACAUUCAUGGAGGAUUUUGUCAGCAGGCUCUUGAGUAAAAUAACAACUGUAUUCCUAGGAAGAGCUCAAACUUGGUCUUAGGAAGGCCAACCAAAAUAGACUCCAACAAGAAAUGAAUUGUUCAACGAUGACUUUAGGGUCUGUAGAGAUGGCUCACUGGCUAAGAGCACUUACUGCUCUUCCAGAUACCUGAGUUUGGUUCCCCACAUCCACAAUGCCUCUAGCCUCUGGGGGCCCUUGAAUUCAUGUGCACAAAUCUAUAUAGACACACACACACAGAAUUAAAAAAUAAAAUUAUUGAAAAGAUGA
Non-coding RNA from Cricetulus griseus (Chinese hamster), 551 nucleotides. Lineage: Eukaryota; Metazoa; Chordata; Mammalia; Rodentia; Cricetidae. The record is from RefSeq and is a predicted model, not a curated record.